GUGACCUCAAAUCAGGUAGGAUUACCCGCUGAACUUAAGCAUAUCAAUAAGCGGAGGAAAAGAAACUAACAAGGAUUCCCCUAGUAACUGCGAGUGAAGCGGGAAAAGCUCAAAUUUAAAAUCUGGCAGCCUUUGGUUGUCCGAGUUGUAAUCUAGAGAAGUGCUAUCCGCGCUGGACCGUGUACAAGUCUCCUGGAAUGGAGCGUCAUAGAGGGUGAGAAUCCCGUCUUUGACACGGACUGCCAGGGCUUUGUGAUGUGCUCUCGAAGAGUCGAGUUGUUUGGGAAUGCAGCUCAAAAUGGGUGGUAAAUUCCAUCUAAAGCUAAAUAUUGGCGAGAGACCGAUAGCGAACAAGUACCGUGAGGGAAAGAUGAAAAGAACUUUGGAAAGAGAGUUAAACAGUACGUGAAAUUGCUGAAAGGGAAACGCUUGAAGUCAGUCGCGUUGUCCAGGGAUCAACCUUGCUUUUGCUUGGUGCACUUUCUGGUUGACGGGUCAGCAUCAAUUUUGACCAUUGGAAAAAGAUUAGGGGAAUGUGACAUCUUAGGAUGUGUUAUAGCCCUUGGUUGCAUACAAUGGUUGGGAUUGAGGAACUCAGCACGCCGCAAGGCCGGGUUUUCAACCACGUACGUGCUUAGGAUGCUGGCAUAAUGGCUUUAAUCGACC
RNAcentral lists this ribosomal RNA (666 nucleotides) under Cortinarius acutus. RNAcentral describes it as "eukaryotic LSU rRNA". It matches the Rfam family "Eukaryotic large subunit ribosomal RNA", at positions 1 to 649 of the family's 3401-position model. Lineage: Eukaryota; Fungi; Basidiomycota; Agaricomycetes; Agaricales; Cortinariaceae. The record is from RNAcentral.